RNAcentral lists this ribosomal RNA (550 nucleotides) under uncultured bacterium. RNAcentral's name for it is "bacterial SSU rRNA". It matches the Rfam family "Bacterial small subunit ribosomal RNA", at positions 355 to 896 of the family's 1533-position model. The record is from RNAcentral.
UAGGGAAUCUUCGGCAAUGGACGGAAGUCUGACCGAGCAACGCCGCGUGAGUGAAGAAGGUUUUCGGAUCGUAAAGCUCUGUUGUAAGAGAAGAACGAGUGUGAGAGUGGAAAGUUCACACUGUGACGGUAUCUUACCAGAAAGGGACGGCUAACUACGUGCCAGCAGCCGCGGUAAUACGUAGGUCCCGAGCGUUGUCCGGAUUUAUUGGGCGUAAAGCGAGCGCAGGCGGUUAGAUAAGUCUGAAGUUAAAGGCUGUGGCUUAACCAUAGUACGCUUUGGAAACUGUUUAACUUGAGUGCAAGAGGGGAGAGUGGAAUUCCAUGUGUAGCGGUGAAAUGCGUAGAUAUAUGGAGGAACACCGGUGGCGAAAGCGGCUCUCUGGCUUGUAACUGACGCUGAGGCUCGAAAGCGUGGGGAGCAAACAGGAUUAGAUACCCUGGUAGUCCACGCCGUAAACGAUAAGUGCUAGGUGUUAGACCCUUUCCGGGGUUUAGUGCCGCAGCUAACGCAUUAAGCACUCCGCCUGGGGAGUACGACCGCAAGGUUG